AGUCGAACGAUAAGCCCGGGCUUGCCCGGGNGGACAGUGGCGAACGGGUGAGUAACACGUGAGGAACCUGCCCCGAAGACCGGGACAACACCGGGAAACCGGUGCUAAUACCGGAUACCUUCACCGGAUCGCAUGGUCUGGUGAAGAAAUGGAUUCCGCUUCGGGAUGGCCUCGCGGCCUAUCAGCUAGUUGGUGAGGUAACGGCUCACCAAGGCGACGACGGGUAGCUGGUCUGAGAGGAUGUCCAGCCACACUGGGACUGAGACACGGCCCAGACUCCUACGGGAGGCAGCAGUUAGGAAUCUUGCGCAAUGGACGAAAGUCUGACGCAGCGACGCCGCGUGCGGGAUGAAGGCCUUCGGGUUGUAAACCGCUUUCAGCAGGGACGAAAUUGACGGUACCUGCAGAAGAAGCCCCGGCCAACUACGUGCCANNNGCCGCG
This 442-nucleotide ribosomal RNA is filed under the name uncultured soil bacterium. RNAcentral's name for it is "bacterial SSU rRNA". It matches the Rfam family "Bacterial small subunit ribosomal RNA", at positions 60 to 519 of the family's 1533-position model. The record is from RNAcentral.